Molecule: long non-coding RNA, 243 nt
Filed under: Homo sapiens (human)
Lineage: Eukaryota; Metazoa; Chordata; Mammalia; Primates; Hominidae
Description: HSALNT0037402
Source: RNAcentral
AAAGAGACACUGCUGCUGGCUUUGGCUAUUCUUUGGCAAUCAGAGUGAAUUAUCUAUAUUUCCUGGGAUUUCAAAUGAGAAGGCUGUCAGAACAAGCUUCUGGAAUGGAACAUUCGAGAGUGUGGGUUUUGUUCAUAUGCAGCAUUUUGCCAUGAAGAGAAAGAGGACGCAUUGGAAGGAAGGAUGCAUUUUAACACCAAUAUGUAUUUUGAGAUUGGACGCUGGAUGAUUCCAUAAAAGGGG